UACGAAGGUGGCAAGCGUUGUUCGGAUUUACUGGGCGUAAAGGGAGCGUAGGCGGUUGGAUAAGCCCUCCGUGAAAUCUCCAGGCUUAACCUGGAAAGUGCAGAGGGGACUGUUCAGCUAGAGGAUGGGAGAGGAGCGCGGAAUUCCCGGUGUAGAGGUGAAAUUCGUAGAUAUCGGGAGGAACACCAGUGGCGAAGGCGGCGACCUGGGCCAAUAUUGACGCUGAGGUGCGAAAGCGUGGGGAGCAAACAGG
RNAcentral lists this ribosomal RNA (253 nucleotides) under uncultured bacterium. Its description in RNAcentral is "partial 16S ribosomal RNA". It matches the Rfam family "Bacterial small subunit ribosomal RNA", at positions 524 to 776 of the family's 1533-position model. The record is from RNAcentral.